RNAcentral lists this ribosomal RNA (305 nucleotides) under uncultured bacterium. Its description in RNAcentral is "bacterial SSU rRNA". It matches the Rfam family "Bacterial small subunit ribosomal RNA", at positions 337 to 639 of the family's 1533-position model. The record is from RNAcentral.
UCCUACGGGGGGCAGCAGUGAGGAAUAUUGGUCAAUGGCCGGAAGGCUGAACCAGCCAAGCCGCGUGAAGGACGAAGGUGCCAAGCAUUGUAAACUUCUCUUGUCAAGGGACAAAAUCAGGCUCGAGAGCCUGACCGAGGGUACUUGAAGAAAAAGCAUCGGCUAACUCCGUGCCAGCAGCCGCGGUAAUACGGAGGAUGCGAGCGUUAUCCGGAUUUACUGGGUGUAAAGGGGGCGCAGACGGCGAUGCAAGCCAGGAGUGAAAGCCCGGGGCCCAACCCCGGGACUGCUCUUGGAACUGCGUG